This 433-nucleotide ribosomal RNA is filed under the name uncultured bacterium. Its description in RNAcentral is "partial 16S ribosomal RNA". It matches the Rfam family "Bacterial small subunit ribosomal RNA", at positions 29 to 507 of the family's 1533-position model. The record is from RNAcentral.
AACGAACGCUGGCGGCAUGCCUAACACAUGCGGGUCGAACGAGACCUUCGGGUCUAGUGGCGCACGGGUGCGUAACGCGUGGGAACCUGCCCUUAGGUUCGGAAUAACUCCCCGAAAGGGGUGCUAAUACCGGAUAAUGUCUUCGGACCAAAGAUUUAUCGCCUUUGGAUGGGCCCGCGUUGGAUUAGCUAGUUGGUAGGGUAAAAGCCUACCAAGGCGACGAUCCAUAGCUGGUCUGAGAGGAUGAUCAGCCACACUGGGACUGAGACACGGCCCAGACUCCUACGGGAGGCAGCAGUGGGGAAUAUUGGACAAUGGGCGAAAGCCUGAUCCAGCAAUGCCGCGUGAGUGAUGAAGGCCUUAGGGUUGUAAAGCUCUUUUACCCGGGAUGAUAAUGACAGUACCGGGAGAAUAAGCUCCGGCUAACUCCGUG